AUCCUGGCUCAGGAUGAACGCUGGCGGUAUGCCUAACACAUGCAAGUCGAACGGUCUCUUCGGAGAUAGUGGCGGACGGGUGAGUAACACGUGAGAAUCUGGCUUCAGGAUGGGGACAACAGUUGGAAACGACUGCUAAUACCCGAUAUGCCGAAAGGUGAAAGAUUUAUCGCCUGAAGAUGAGCUCGCGGCUGAUUAGCUAGUUGGUGGGGUAAGAGCCUACCAAGGCGACGAUCAGUAGCUGUUCUGAGAGGAAGAUCAGCCACACUGGGACUGAGACACGGCCCAGACUCCUACGGGAGGCAGCAGUGGGGAAUUUUCCGCAAUGGGCGAAAGCCUGACGGAGCAAUACCGCGUGCGGGAGGAAGGCCCUUGGGUCGUAAACCGCUUUUCUUAGGGAAGAAACCUGACGGUACCUAAGGAAUAAGCCUCGGCUAACUCCGUGCCAGCAGCCGCGGUAAUACGGAGGAGGCAAGCGUUAUCCGGAAUUAUUGGGCGUAAAGAGUCCGUAGGUGGUUCAUCAAGUCUGCUGUUAAAGAGUGCAGCUCAACUGCAUAAAGGCGGUGGAAACUGUUGAACUAGAGUAUGGUAGGGGUAGGGGGAAUUCCCAGUGUAGCGGUGAAAUGCGUAGAGAUUGGGAAGAACACCGGUGGCGAAAGCGCCCUACUGGGCCAUAACUGACACUGAGGGACGAAAGCUAGGGUAGCGAAUGGGAUUAGAUACCCCAGUAGUCCUAGCCGUAAACGAUGGAAACUAGGCGUAGCUUGUAUCGACCCGAGCUGUGCCGAAGCUAACGCGUUAAGUUUCCCGCCUGGGGAGUACGCACGCAAGUGUGAAACUCAAAGGAAUUGACGGGGGCCCGCACAAGCGGUGGAGUAUGUGGUUUAAUUCGAUGCAACGCGAAGAACCUUACCAAGGCUUGACAUCCCGCGAAUCUCUUGGAAACGAGAGAGUGCCUUAGGGAGCGCGGAGACAGGUGGUGCAUGGCUGUCGUCAGCUCGUGUCGUGAGAUGUUGGGUUAAGUCCCGCAACGAGCGCAACCCUUGUCCUUAGUUGCCAGCAUUAAGUUGGGCACUCUAGGGAGACUGCCGGUGACAAACCGGAGGAAGGUGAGGAUGACGUCAAGUCAGCAUGCCCCUUACGUCUUGGGCUACACACGUACUACAAUGGUUGGGACAAAGGGCAGCAAGCUCGCGAGAGUAAGCGAAUCUCAUCAAACCCAGCCUCAGUUCAGAUUGCAGGCUGCAACUCGCCUGCAUGAAGGAGGAAUCGCUAGUAAUCGCAGGUCAGCAUACUGCGGUGAAUCCGUUCCCGGGCCUUGUACACACCGCCCGUCACACCAUGGAAGCUGGCAACAUCCGAAGUCGUUACUCCAACUGUUUACAGAGGAGGGCGCCGAAGGUGGGGCUAGUGACUGGGGUGAAGUCGUAACAAGGUAGCCGUACCGGAAGGUGUGGCUGGAUCACCUCCUUU
Molecule: ribosomal RNA, 1473 nt
Filed under: Spirulina major 0BB22S09
Lineage: Bacteria; Bacillati; Cyanobacteriota; Cyanophyceae; Spirulinales; Spirulinaceae
Also listed under: 1 other name
Description: bacterial SSU rRNA
Rfam family: Bacterial small subunit ribosomal RNA
Source: RNAcentral